Molecule: ribosomal RNA, 776 nt
Filed under: uncultured bacterium
Lineage: Bacteria
Description: bacterial SSU rRNA
Rfam family: Bacterial small subunit ribosomal RNA
Source: RNAcentral
AGAGUUUGAUCCUGGCUCAGGACGAACGCUGGCGGCGUGCUUAACACAUGCAAGUCGAGCGAGGCUCUCUCCUUCGGGAGGGAUGUCCUAGCGGCGAACGGGUGAGUAACACGUGGGCAACCUGCCCUCCGCUCUGGGAUAACCCCGGGAAACCGGAGCUAAUACCGGAUAUGACCUCGGAAGACAUCUUCUGAGGUGGAAAGAAUUUCGGCGGAGGAUGGGCCCGCGGCCUAUCAGCUUGUUGGUGGGGUAACGGCCCACCAAGGCGACGACGGGUAGCCGGCCUGAGAGGGCGACCGGCCACACUGGGACUGAGACACGGCCCAGACUCCUACGGGAGGCAGCAGUGGGGAAUAUUGCGCAAUGGGCGAAAGCCUGACGCAGCGACGCCGCGUGAGGGAUGAAGGCCUUCGGGUUGUAAACCUCUUUCAGCAGGGACGAAGCGAAAGUGACGGUACCUGCAGAAGAAGCACCGGCCAACUACGUGCCAGCAGCCGCGGUAAUACGUAGGGUGCAAGCGUUGUCCGGAAUUAUUGGGCGUAAAGAGCUCGUAGGCGGUUUGUCGCGUCGGCUGUGAAAACCCGGGGCUCAACCCCGGGCCUGCAGUCGAUACGGGCAAACUAGAGUGUGGUAGGGGAGACUGGAAUUCCUGGUGUAGCGGUGAAAUGCGCAGAUAUCAGGAGGAACACCGGUGGCGAAGGCGGGUCUCUGGGCCAUAACUGACGCUGAGGAGCGAAAGCGUGGGGAGCGAACAGGAUUAGAUACCCUAGUAGUCC